RNAcentral lists this ribosomal RNA (332 nucleotides) under uncultured eukaryote. Its description in RNAcentral is "partial 18S ribosomal RNA". It matches the Rfam family "Eukaryotic small subunit ribosomal RNA", at positions 592 to 976 of the family's 1831-position model. The record is from RNAcentral.
CAAUAGCGUAUUUUAAAGUUGUUGCAGUUAAAAAGCUCGUAGUUGAAUUUCGGGUCCCCGCGCUCGGCGCUUCAUUGUGCCGUCGUGGUGUCCCUCCUCGCCGUAAGGCGUCCUUUACUGUGAAAAAAUUAGAGUGUUCAAAGCAGGCAAUCGCUUGAAUACAUUAGCAUGGAAUAAUAAGAUAGGAUCUUGUCUAUUUUGUUGGUUGCGGACAACGAUAAUGAUUAAUAGGGAUAGUUGGGGGUGUCCGUAUUGAGCUGUCAGAGGUGAAAUUCUUGGAUUUGCUCAAGACGAACUACUGCGAAAGCAUUCACCAAGGAUGUUUUCAUUAA